Oncorhynchus keta (chum salmon) is the source of this 690-nucleotide long non-coding RNA. RefSeq lists it as uncharacterized. The record is from RefSeq and is a predicted model, not a curated record. NCBI's taxonomy places the organism in Eukaryota, Metazoa, Chordata, Actinopteri, Salmoniformes, Salmonidae. The transcript is spliced from 3 exons.
UGACUAGACAUCAGGAUAGAUAAUAAUAAGGUAUUUGAGGUAGAUGUGUACAUGAAGGCAGGGUAAAGUGACUAGACAUCAGGAUAGAUAAUAAUAAGGUAUUUGAGGUAGAUAUGUACAUGAAGGCAGGGUAAAGUGACUAGACAUCAGGAUAGAUAAUAAUAAGGUAUUUGAGGUAGAUGUGUACAUGAAGGCAGGGUAAAGUGACUAGACAUCAGGAUAGAUAAUAAUAAGGUAUUUGAGGUAGAUAUGUACAUGAAGGCAGGGUAAAGUGACUAGACAUCAGGAUAGAUAAUAAUAAGGUAUUUGAGGUAGAUAUGUACAUGAAGGCAGGGUAAAGUGACUAGACAUCAGGAUAGAUAAUAAUAAGGUAUUAGAGGUAGAUGUGUACAUGAAGGCAGGGUAAAGUGACUAGACAUCAGGAUAGAUAAUAAUAAGGUAUUUGAGGUAGAUAUGUACAUGAAGGCAGGGUAAAGUGACGAGACAUCAGGAUAGAUAAUAAUAAGGUAUUAGAGGUAGAUGUGUACAUGAAGGCAGGGUAAAGUGACUAGACAUCAGGAUAGAUAAUAAUAAGGUAUUUGAGGUAGAUAUGUACAUGAAGGCAGGGUAAAGUGACUAGACAUCAGGAUAGAUAAUAAUAAGGUAUUUGAGGUAGAUAUGUACAUGAAGGCAGGGUAAAGUGACUAGACA